Molecule: ribosomal RNA, 767 nt
Filed under: Staphylococcus succinus
Lineage: Bacteria; Bacillati; Bacillota; Bacilli; Caryophanales; Staphylococcaceae
Description: bacterial SSU rRNA
Rfam family: Bacterial small subunit ribosomal RNA
Source: RNAcentral
CAGUCGAGCGACGGAUAAGGAGCUUGCUCCUUUGAAGUUAGCGGCGGACGGGUGAGUAACACGUGGGUAACCUACCUAUAAGACUGGAAUAACUUCGGGAAACCGGAGCUAAUGCCGGAUAACAUAUAGAACCGCAUGGUUCUAUAGUGAAAGAUGGUUUUGCUAUCACUUAUAGAUGGACCCGCGCCGUAUUAGCUAGUUGGUAAGGUAAUGGCUUACCAAGGCGACGAUACGUAGCCGACCUGAGAGGGUGAUCGGCCACACUGGAACUGAGACACGGUCCAGACUCCUACGGGAGGCAGCAGUAGGGAAUCUUCCGCAAUGGGCGAAAGCCUGACGGAGCAACGCCGCGUGAGUGAUGAAGGUUUUCGGAUCGUAAAACUCUGUUAUUAGGGAAGAACAAAUGCGUAAGUAACUGUGCGCAUCUUGACGGUACCUAAUCAGAAAGCCACGGCUAACUACGUGCCAGCAGCCGCGGUAAUACGUAGGUGGCAAGCGUUAUCCGGAAUUAUUGGGCGUAAAGCGCGCGUAGGCGGUUUCUUAAGUCUGAUGUGAAAGCCCACGGCUCAACCGUGGAGGGUCAUUGGAAACUGGGAAACUUGAGUGCAGAAGAGGAAAGUGGAAUUCCAUGUGUAGCGGUGAAAUGCGCAGAGAUAUGGAGGAACACCAGUGGCGAACGCGACUUUCUGGUCUGUAACUGACGCUGAUGUGCGAAAGCGUGGGGAUCAACAGAUUAGAUACCCUGGUAGUCCACGUCGUAACGAUGA